Molecule: long non-coding RNA, 474 nt
Filed under: Sinocyclocheilus anshuiensis
Lineage: Eukaryota; Metazoa; Chordata; Actinopteri; Cypriniformes; Cyprinidae
Description: lncRNA (ENSSANG00000009769.1)
Source: RNAcentral
AUGGAUAAUAACCACUUUGCAUGUGGAAGUACAUUUGUCCACUAAUGAAAGUGCAUUUCAGUUUACAGGAGUGAUUACCCAAAGGCUCCAGAUGUGAUCUAAUUGCAGUGAAUGGCCUAACAGGAAAUAAAAUGGCCAAAAUCUGCACAGAACAAUCAUACCCCUCACAAAGAUCCGCCUUCACUCCUGAACCAGCUAUUGAAUGGAUCGAGAAAGGGGAAAGUGAUCAGCCUCCCCGUGGACUAAUGGGCAGGAUGUCCCAUUUCAUCCUGAGGUUUGGAGGAAGAUCCACCAAAUGUAAAGCUUCAGAAUGCAGUGAUUCAGUUAUGAUAACAGAGGAGUCUGAAGACAUGGCAGAGCAAAUGGACCAACUGCGCAAGAGGAAUUUCAACAACAAUGCAAAUCACUGGCCUCUUGCAACACUGAAUAUGAACAACUGCAACAAUACAGAUGAGUAUGUGAGAAAGUUAAAUA